AGAGUUUGAUCCUGGCUUAGAACGAACGCUGGCGGCAGGCUUAACACAUGCAAGUUGAACGGGAUUAAUUGAUAGCUUGCUAUUGAUUAUGAGAGUAGCGCACUGGUGAGUAACACGUGGGAACGUACCUAUUGGUGGGGGACAACAGUUGGAAACGACUGCUAAUACCGCAUAAGCCCUGAGGGGGAAAGAUUUAUUGCCGAUAGAUCGGCCCGCGGAAGAUUAGGUAGUAGGUGGGGUAACGGCCUACCUAGCCGACGAUCUAUAGCUGGUCUAAGAGGACGAUCAGCCACAUUGGAACUGAGACACGGUCCAGACUCCUACGGGAGGCAGCAGUGAGGAAUAUUGGGCAAUGGAGGCAACUCUGACCCAGCCAUGCCCGCGUGAGUGAAGAAGGUUUUCGGAUUGUAAAGCUCUUUCAGAUGAGAAGAUGAUGACGGUAUCAUCAGAAGAAGCACCGGCUAACUUCGUGCCAGCCGCCGC
RNAcentral lists this ribosomal RNA (483 nucleotides) under uncultured bacterium. RNAcentral's name for it is "bacterial SSU rRNA". It matches the Rfam family "Bacterial small subunit ribosomal RNA", at positions 8 to 518 of the family's 1533-position model. The record is from RNAcentral.